UACAGAGGGUGCAAGCGUUGUUCGGAAUCAUUGGGCGUAAAGGGCGUGUAGGCGGUUUGUUAAGUCAUGUGUGAAAUCCCUCGGCUCAACCGGGGAACGACGCAUGAAACUGGCAAGCUAGAGUACCAAAGAGGGUGGUGGAAUUCCCGGUGUAGCGGUGAAAUGUGUAGAUAUCGGGAGGAACACCUGUGGCGAAGGCGGUUCUCUGGGCCUGUACUGACGCUGAGGAGCGAAAGCGUGGGGAGCGAACAGG
Molecule: ribosomal RNA, 253 nt
Filed under: uncultured bacterium
Lineage: Bacteria
Description: partial 16S ribosomal RNA
Rfam family: Bacterial small subunit ribosomal RNA
Source: RNAcentral